RNAcentral lists this long non-coding RNA (610 nucleotides) under Equus caballus (horse). Its description in RNAcentral is "lncRNA (ENSECAG00000040663.2)". The record is from RNAcentral. Lineage: Eukaryota; Metazoa; Chordata; Mammalia; Perissodactyla; Equidae.
GUUUCUAUUCUACGUGCUACAAAGGAGAAUAGGAGAAGCAAUUUAGCCUCUCUCUACUCCACAUUUACUCCAGGGGAGGAGUGACUUAAGGAACUAGACCAGCCUGACCUGACUCUCCCUCUCUCUCCCUCUCGCACUCUCACCGGCUCGCCUUUCUUGCCAAAAGAGUGGUUGCAUCCUCUUCCAGCCCUGCUCUCCGCAUAAGCACACUUGAGUCAAGGCCCAGGCUUGCCUACGAGAUGGCCCCUCUCUCCCUCCUUCCCUAAUGGGGCAGUAAUUCUGGUUGAGUGCUUGCAAGAGUCUGAGGACUUGAAUGAAAGCAGACUGGCUGAGCUUAGUCCUGAGGACAGAGACACAGCUGGCGGGGGAGAAGGGUUCACUGAGGUAAGGGGGUUCCUUUUCUCUCCUCCAUGAUUGUUCUUACAACAGAGGGUUAUUUAUCCUUGAAUGUAACAUUCCACCAAAAUAAACUGCUUCUUGCACUGAUCCCAAGUUCUAUAGGUUCAUUUAGGAAAUCAUUAUUAAAACAUUAUGAGCAUCUCAUAAGUUUACUGUGUGCUAGGAAUUUAGUAAGCUAUAGAUGAGGCAGGCAGCCUGUAAGAUGGCCCCC